This 386-nucleotide ribosomal RNA is filed under the name Salmonella enterica. RNAcentral describes it as "partial 23S ribosomal RNA". It matches the Rfam family "Bacterial large subunit ribosomal RNA", at positions 1 to 417 of the family's 2925-position model. Lineage: Bacteria; Pseudomonadati; Pseudomonadota; Gammaproteobacteria; Enterobacterales; Enterobacteriaceae. The record is from RNAcentral.
GGGUUGUGAGGUUAAGCGACUAAGCGUACACGGUGGAUGCCCUGGCAGUCAGAGGCGAUGAAGGGCGUGCUAAUCUGCGAUAAGCGCCGGUAAGGUGAUAUGAACCGUUAUAACCGGCGAUACCCGAAUGGGGAAACCCAGUGUGACUCGUCACACUAUCAUUAACUGAAUCCAUAGGUUAAUGAGGCGAACCGGGGGAACUGAAACAUCUAAGUACCCCGAGGAAAAGAAAUCAACCGAGAUUCCCCCAGUAGCGGCGAGCGAACGGGGAGGAGCCCAGAGCCUGAAUCAGCAUGUGUGUUAGUGGAAGCGUCUGGAAAGGCGCGCGAUACAGGGUGAUAGCCCCGUACACAAAAGCGCAUGUGUUGUGAGCUCGAUGAGUAGGG